Molecule: long non-coding RNA, 1238 nt
Organism: Homo sapiens (human)
Lineage: Eukaryota; Metazoa; Chordata; Mammalia; Primates; Hominidae
Product: long intergenic non-protein coding RNA 904
Source: Ensembl
GGCUCUCAGCCGUUAAGUGGAGAAUGUUCAGGACUGUCGAGGCGCGCUCCGCACCUGGCCUGAAAGCGGGAGAUUUGGCAACCAGUGCGCGUGGGUGCGCCGGCCCUUGCAGCUGGGGACUCUGGAGGCAGACCUUGCCCAAAGCCAGAGGCAGGAACUCCCCAGAUCCUCCCAGGGUAGCAUGGGAGGAUGCCGCCUCCUCCAGGAAGCUCUCUAGCGCUUUUCCGAGUCCUGGAGCCAGGCGGGACUUCUCUGUGGUCGCCUAGAAGGAGACCAACAAUUGUCAGCACAGCAAAACUGGGCAUUUCUUUUCUUACUGAGCUUUGCAGCUACCUACACAGUUGUGUGUGGCAUCUCCUCCUGGGUGCAAGGACAUGAGAUGACAUCAGGGUCUUGCUGUGUCAUCCAGGCUGGAGUGCAGUGAUAUGAGCAUGGCUCACUGCAGCCUCGACCUCCCAGCUUCAAGCAAUGCUCCCACCUUGGCCUCCCAAAGCGCUGGGAUUACAGGCAUGAGCCACCAUGCCUGGCCAUUGCCAUUGCAAGUCUCACUUUGUCACCCAGGCUGGAAUGCAGUGGCACGAUUACAGCUUACCACAGCCUUGACCUCCUGGGUUCAGGUGAUCCUCCCACCUCAGCCUCCCAAGUAGUUGGGACUACAGGUGCCCACCACCAUGCCUGGCUAAUUUUUUUGUAAUUUUUGUAGAGACAGGGUUUUGCCAUGUUACCUAGGCUGGUCUUGAACUCCUGGGCUCAAGCGAUCUGGCUGCCUCAACCUCCCAAAGUGGUAGGAUUACAGACAUGAGCCACUAUGCCCAGCCUAUAAUCUUGUUUGUAAACUUAGAGGGAAAGCAUCCAAAUUUAAUCAUUAUGAUGUUUGCCGUGGGUUUUUUGUACUUGCUCUUAUCAGGUUGAGGAAGUUCAUUUUUAUACUACUUUGUUGAGUUUUUAAAAAAUUAUUAUUAUGGCCAGGCAUGGUGGCUCACACCUGCAAUCCUAGCAUUUUGGAAGGCCAAGGCCAGCAGAUUGCUUGAGUUCAGCAGUUUGAGAACAGCCUGGGCAACAUGGCAAAACCCCAUCUCUAUAUUAAAAAAUAAAAAUAAUUUAAAAAAUUAUUAUUAUGAAAAGAUGUUGAAUUUUGUCAUAUGUUUCUUCUGCAUGUGUUGAAAUGACCAUAUGAUUUGUUUUUUGUUCUACUGAUAUUAUGUAUUACAAUAGUUUAUUUUUGGAUGUUAAACCAA